Dromaius novaehollandiae (emu) is the source of this 426-nucleotide long non-coding RNA. RefSeq lists it as uncharacterized. The record is from RefSeq and is a predicted model, not a curated record. NCBI's taxonomy places the organism in Eukaryota, Metazoa, Chordata, Aves, Casuariiformes, Dromaiidae. The transcript has 3 exons.
UAUUGCAGUAGUGACUCUUUUCUUGAGGGCAAAACAUUACUAAGCAUGUGGAGUUGCCUCUGGCUAAAGCCAUUUUAAGCAAGAGAGUUAGUAUGAGCGAGGCAAAGGUCCUUUCUUCUUUCUAGAUUACUAAUGGACUGAGAGCCUUACUCUGCCUGACUACAGACAGUGGGAACUUGGCUAGUGAUCGCUGCAGCAGCAGGACCUGGCGGGUCCUUGCAAGGACAACGCUCUGUGUAAUAAUUCAAAUUUCCUGUGAUUGAUGGAAGCAGGAAGAAUGUCACAAGAGAUCUUAGAAAAAUGGCUUUUCUUCCCGCUAAACCAUUAAGCAUGUGCCUCUGUUGUGAAAUAUAGUGGAACCUCCAAUGCAGGAGCACACCUGUGCAUGUUUGGACUUUGCUGGGAAUACACAUGCUCCCUGGAUGU